ACAGAGGGUGCAAGCGUUAUUCGGAAUCACUGGGCGUAAAGAGUUCGUAGGCGGCCUGUUAAGUCUGUUGUGAAAGCCCUGGGCUCAAUCCAGGAAGUGCAGUAGAUACUGACGGGCUAGAGUGCAGGAGAGGAGAGCGGAAUUCCAGGUGUAGAGGUGAAAUUCGUAGAUAUCUGGAGGAACAACAGUGGCGAAGGCGGCUCUCUGGACUGUAACUGACGCUGAGGAACGAAAGCGUGGGGAGCAAACAG
This 251-nucleotide ribosomal RNA is filed under the name uncultured prokaryote. RNAcentral describes it as "partial 16S rRNA". It matches the Rfam family "Bacterial small subunit ribosomal RNA", at positions 525 to 775 of the family's 1533-position model. The record is from RNAcentral.